GCCUGCCCAGUGACUACGGGUUCAACGGCCGCGGUAUUUUGACCGUGCAAAGGUAGCGCAAUCACUUGUCUCUUAAAUAGAGACCUGUAUGAAUGGCUAGACGAGGGCUUAACUGUCUCCCCCUUCCAGUCAGUGAAAUUGAUCUAUCCGUGCAGAAGCGGGUAUAAGUAUACAAGACGAGAAGACCCUUUGGAGCUUAAGGUACAAAAUUCAACCACGUUAAAUGACUCUACAAAAAGCAAGAACCUAGUGGCCAAUGAACUUUUACCUUCGGUUGGGGCGACCACGGAGGAAAAAUAAGCCUCCGAGUGGACUGGGCUAAACCCCCAAAGCCAAGAGAUACAUCUAUAAGCCGCAGAACAUCUGACCAAAAAUGAUCCGACUGAAAAGCCGAUCAACGAACCAAGUUACCCUAGGGAUAACAGCGCAAUCCUCUCCCAGAGUCCAUAUCGACGAGGGGGUUUACGACCUCGAUGUUGGAUCAGGACAUCCUAAUGGUGCAGCCGCUAU
RNAcentral lists this ribosomal RNA (510 nucleotides) under Rutilus meidingeri. RNAcentral describes it as "partial 16S ribosomal RNA". It matches the Rfam family "Bacterial large subunit ribosomal RNA", at positions 1857 to 2565 of the family's 2925-position model. Lineage: Eukaryota; Metazoa; Chordata; Actinopteri; Cypriniformes; Leuciscidae. The record is from RNAcentral.